CGGGUGCGUAACGCGUAUAGAACCUACCUUUUACAGAGGAAUAGCCUUUAGAAAUGAAGAUUAAUGCCUCAUAGUAUUGUAGACUGGCAUCAGUUUAUAAUUAAAGAUUUAUCGGUAAAAGAUGGCUAUGCGUCCUAUUAGUUAGUUGGUAAGGUAACGGCUUACCAAGACAGCGAUAGGUAGGGGUCCUGAGAGGGAGAUCCCCCACACUGGUACUGAGACACGGACCAGACUCCUACGGGAGGCAGCAGUGAGGAAUAUUGGACAAUGGAGGAGACUCUGAUCCAGCCAUGCCGCGUGUAGGAAGAAUGCCCUAUGGGUUGUAAACUACUUUUAUACAGGAAGAACACUGGUAUGUAUACCAGCUUGACGGUACUGUAAGAAUAA
This 387-nucleotide ribosomal RNA is filed under the name uncultured Polaribacter sp. RNAcentral describes it as "bacterial SSU rRNA". It matches the Rfam family "Bacterial small subunit ribosomal RNA", at positions 103 to 489 of the family's 1533-position model. Lineage: Bacteria; Pseudomonadati; Bacteroidota; Flavobacteriia; Flavobacteriales; Flavobacteriaceae. The record is from RNAcentral.